RNAcentral lists this ribosomal RNA (425 nucleotides) under uncultured bacterium. RNAcentral describes it as "partial 16S ribosomal RNA". It matches the Rfam family "Bacterial small subunit ribosomal RNA", at positions 354 to 796 of the family's 1533-position model. The record is from RNAcentral.
GUGGGGAAUAUUGGACAAUGGGCGCAAGCCUGAUCCAGCCAUGCCGCGUGAGUGAUGAAGGCCCUAGGGUUGUAAAGCUCUUUCACCGGAGAAGAUAAUGACGGUAUCCGGAGAAGAAGCCCCGGCUAACUUCGUGCCAGCAGCCGCGGUAAUACGAAGGGGGCUAGCGUUGUUCGGAAUUACUGGGCGUAAAGCGCACGUAGGCGGACAUUUAAGUCAGGGGUGAAAUCCCGGAGCUCACCUCCGGAACUGCCUUUGAUACUGGGAGUCUGGAGUAUGGAAGAGGUGAGUGGAAGUCCGAGUGGAGAGGUGAAAUUCGUAGAUAUUCGGAGGAACACCAGUGGCGAAGGCGACUGACUGGACAAGUAUUGACGCUGAGGUGCGAAAGCGUGGGGAACAAACAGGAUUAGAUACCCUGGUAGUCC